CUAAUACCUGCAGUCGAGCGGACAGAAGGGAGCUUGCUCCCGGAUGUUAGCGGCGGACGGGUGAGUAACACGUGGGUAACCUGCCUGUAAGACUGGGAUAACUCCGGGAAACCGGAGCUAAUACCGGAUAGUUCCUUGAACCGCAUGGUUCAAGGAUGAAAGACGGUUUCGGCUGUCACUUACAGAUGGACCCGCGGCGCAUUAGCUAGUUGGUGAGGUAACGGCUCACCAAGGCGACGAUGCGUAGCCGACCUGAGAGGGUGAUCGGCCACACUGGGACUGAGACACGGCCCAGACUCCUACGGGAGGCAGCAGUAGGGAAUCUUCCGCAAUGGACGAAAGUCUGACGGAGCAACGCCGCGUGAGUGAUGAAGGUUUUCGGAUCGUAAAGCUCUGUUGUUAGGGAAGAACAAGUGCAAGAGUAACUGCUUGCACCUUGACGGUACCUAACCAGAAAGCCACGGCUAACUACGUGCCAGCAGCCGCGGUAAUACGUAGGUGGCAAGCGUUGUCCGGAAUUAUUGGGCGUAAAGGGCUCGCAGGCGGUUUCUUAAGUCUGAUGUGAAAGCCCCCGGCUCAACCGGGGAGGGUCAUUGGAAACUGGGAAACUUGAGUGCAGAAGAGGAGAGUGGAAUUCCACGUGUAGCGGUGAAAUGCGUAGAGAUGUGGAGGAACACCAGUGGCGAAGGCGACUCUCUGGUCUGUAACUGACGCUGAGGAGCGAAAGCGUGGGGAGCGAACAGGAUUAGAUA
Molecule: ribosomal RNA, 752 nt
Filed under: Bacillus pumilus
Lineage: Bacteria; Bacillati; Bacillota; Bacilli; Caryophanales; Bacillaceae
Description: bacterial SSU rRNA
Rfam family: Bacterial small subunit ribosomal RNA
Source: RNAcentral